CCAGUGUUGGUGUCAAUUCUAGUCUAUUCGGAAAGUACACUGAAAUUCUAAUUAUUUUCAAUGGGGAUAAUGUGGAAUGUGAAUUUGGUGAACUCUAACCCUUUGUUGUGGUUGUAUUACAGUUUUUUGAUGAUGUUUUACAGGGGAGUUUAUUGGUCCAUUGGUUUUCAUUCCGAACAAUAAAUAAUAAUAUAUAUAUAUAAUAAUAUAUAAAUAAUAAAUCAUUAUUUUUAACGUGUGAUGCCUUUAAUGUGUGAUGGCUUUAAAAGCAUGUUUCUCUAAACAUGGCCUAAGGCAGGAAGGAAGUAAAUCAUGGCUUUAAAAGCAUGUUUCUCUAAACAUGGCCUAAGGCAGGAAGGAAGUAAAUCAUGGCUUUAAAAGCAUGUUUCUCUAAACAUGGCCUAAGGCAGGAAGGAAGUAAAUCAUGGCUUUAAAAGCAUGUUUCUCUAAACAUGGCCUAAGGCAGGAAGGAAGUAAAUCAUGGCUUUAAAAGCAUGUUUCUCUAAACAUGGCCUAAGGCAGGAAGGAAGUAAAUCAUGGCUUUAAAAGCAUGUUUCUCUAAACAUGGCCUAAGGCAGGAAGGAAGUAAAUCAUGGCUUUAAAAGCAUGUUUCUCUAAACAUGGCCUAAGGCAGGAAGGAAGUAAAUCAUGGCUUUAAAAGCAUGUUUCUCUAAACAUGGCCUACGGCAGGAAGGAAGUAAAUCAUGGCUUUAAAAGCAUGUUUCUCUAAACAUGGCCUACGGCAGGAAGGAAGUAAAUCAUGGCUUUAAAAGCAUGUUUCUCUAAACAUGGCCUACGGUAGGAAGGAAGUAAAUCAUGGCUAUAAAAGCAUGUUUCUCUAAACAUGGCCUAAGGCAGG
Oncorhynchus keta (chum salmon) is the source of this 859-nucleotide long non-coding RNA. RefSeq lists it as uncharacterized. NCBI's taxonomy places the organism in Eukaryota, Metazoa, Chordata, Actinopteri, Salmoniformes, Salmonidae. The transcript has 4 exons. The record is from RefSeq and is a predicted model, not a curated record.